GACGAACGCUGGCGGCGUGCUUAACACAUGCAAGUCGAGCGGAAAGGCCCUUCGGGGUACUCGAGCGGCGAACGGGUGAGUAACACGUGAGUAAUCUGCCCUUGGCUUUGGGAUAACUACCGGAAACGGUGGCUAAUACCUGAUACGACAACCGUCUGCAUUGGCUGGUUGUGGAAAGUUUUUUCGGCCAGGGAUGUGCUCGCGGCCUAUCAGCUUGUUGGUGGGGUAAUGGCCUACCAAGGCUUCGACGGGUAGCCGGCCUGAGCGGGGGACCGGCCACACUGGGACUGAGACACGGGCCAGACUCCUCCGGGAGGAAGCAGUGGGGAAGAUUGGACAAUGGGCGGAAGCCUGAGCCAGCAACGCCGCGUGAGGGAUGACGGGCUUCGGGUUGUAAACCUCUUUCAGUACCGACGAAGCGCCGAUGAUGGUGGUGACGGUAGGUACAGAAGAAGCACCGGCCAACUACGUG
Molecule: ribosomal RNA, 472 nt
Filed under: uncultured bacterium
Lineage: Bacteria
Description: partial 16S ribosomal RNA
Rfam family: Bacterial small subunit ribosomal RNA
Source: RNAcentral